GAAUAUAAUCGGGGUUUCAUUUUCCAUAAAAUGUGAGCUGAUGUUCGUAAACCAGCUGUAUUUUUAUUUUAAUUUUGUCAAUUCCGGGUGAUCAUAUAUCCUUCACAUUUGAAGAUGCUUGAUGAUUCAAAAUUUAAUUGAUACAAAUAUACACUAUUUUUAUUAUUUCCUUUCCAAAGUUAGCUUAAUAAUUUAGGAAAGUAAUAAUACUGAUUGAGCAUUCCUUGUUUAUGAGCUGUUUACCUUAUUCUACAAAAGGGUUGUCCUUAUCCUUGCAAUCACAAAACAUAAGAACUCAUUUACAUUUCAGUUUCACGCCAUUAAUCAGUUGUCGCAACAGGAAAUAAACUUAGUAUUCGUUUGCUCUGCUUUGGUAAAAAAAAAAAAAAGAUGGGAGGUCUUUGCUCAGGAGGGAUGAAGAAGCAACAAAAUGCUUUAGAUCUUAAUCUUGAGAGGCUAAAGUUAGAAAAAAGCACAAAGCAUCACCACAAAGAAAACAGAAUCACUCUCGAACCGCUACAGUUGCCAUUUCCCAGGGAAUUACUGUCGAUGACAGGGGCUUCCGAGUACAAGGUAUGUUCAAAUAAUUGACUGUACUUUUUUGUACUUGAUCAAAUUUUUAGAAGCGAGCAGAUAUUUUAAUGCAUGAUUAUAGCAAUAUAAAGACGAUGGCUUACACAAACAGGUUGAAGUUUUCAGUUUAAAAUAAUCCUGGUGCAAAUUUAAUGAAUGUUUCUUUCUUGUAAACUAAGGAGUGUUUGAUAUUGAUAGAAAGAAACACUGUCCGAUCAUGACGUUUAAAUUAAUAAUAUAUCGAACAAAGACUCUUGAGUUCUGUUUAUUGAAAAUAUACAUAUAUACGCACACACGGUUGCUCUGUUAGUGAUAUACUGAUAUUUUGGCUACCAGGUCGUUUUCUCCUUUUCUUGAGAUACACUUUUGGAUUAUAAUUUUUUUUCCCCAUUUCGUAGGCUGCUAAGAGGUCUUCGUUUCUUGGAAGAGAUGGCAUUGGCGGCCUAUCAAUGACUGGUCCAGCAGUUUAAUUUUAACAUUGGAGAAGUCCCUACAUUUUAAGGCGUUUGCUUAUUGAUUGAUUGAUUCAUUAGAGGAAACCGAAAAUUCCUUGUACAGGUGUAGAAGAUAAAUAAUCAAGGAAUAAAAGCUUGUGAAUAUUGUUUCAUUGUUCAUCUCACUAGGCUGAUACUUUGGGUUGGUGUAUCCUUUCAAAUUUAUCUUCAUAUGGUUCUGUUCGGUUUAUUGAUUCGUUACUAAACAUAUUUUUAUUUUUA
Molecule: long non-coding RNA, 1289 nt
Filed under: Citrus sinensis (sweet orange)
Lineage: Eukaryota; Viridiplantae; Streptophyta; Magnoliopsida; Sapindales; Rutaceae
Description: long non-coding RNA (CSIN_LNC001536)
Source: RNAcentral